RNAcentral lists this ribosomal RNA (442 nucleotides) under uncultured bacterium. RNAcentral's name for it is "partial 16S ribosomal RNA". It matches the Rfam family "Bacterial small subunit ribosomal RNA", at positions 339 to 795 of the family's 1533-position model. The record is from RNAcentral.
CUACGGGUUGCACCAGUCGAGAAUCUUCCGCAAUGGGCGCAAGCCUGACGGAGCAAUGCCGCGUGAGGGAUGACGGCCCUAGGGUUGUAAACCUCUGUCAGAAGGGACGAAGAACGUGACGGUACCUUCAGAGGAGGCCAUGGCUAACUACGUGCCAGCAGCCGCGGUAAUACGUAGAUGGCGAGCGUUAUUCGGAUUUACUGGGCGUAAAGGGUCCGUAGGGGGUCUGCCAAGUCUGAUGUGAAAUCCUGCGGCUCAACCGCGGAACUGCAUUGGAAACUGGCGGACUAGAGUGUGCGAGGGGUGAGCGGAAUUCCUGGUGUAGCGGUGGAAUGCGUAGAUAUCAGGAAGAACACCGAUGGCGAAGGCGGCUCACUGGCGCAUCACUGACCCUGAGGGACGAAAGCGUGGGUAGCAAACAGGAUUAGAUACCCUCGUAGUC